Molecule: ribosomal RNA, 492 nt
Filed under: uncultured bacterium
Lineage: Bacteria
Description: partial 16S ribosomal RNA
Rfam family: Bacterial small subunit ribosomal RNA
Source: RNAcentral
GACGAACGCUGGCGGCGUGCCUAAUACAUGCAAGUAGAACGCUGAAGGAGGAGCUUGCUUCUCUGGAUGAGUUGCGAACGGGUGAGUAACGCGUAGGUAACCUGCCUGGUAGCGGGGGAUAACUAUUGGAAACGAUAGCUAAUACCGCAUAAUAGUAGAUGUUGCAUGACAUUUGCUUAAAAGGUGCAAUUGCAUCACUACCAGAUGGACCUGCGUUGUAUUAGCUAGUUGGUGGGGUAACGGCUCACCAAGGCGACGAUACAUAGCCGACCUGAGAGGGUGAUCGGCCACACUGGGACUGAGACACGGCCCAGACUCCUACGGGAGGCAGCAGUAGGGAAUCUUCGGCAAUGGACGGAAGUCUGACCGAGCAACGCCGCGUGAGUGAAGAAGGUUUUCGGAUCGUAAAGCUCUGUUGUAAGAGAAGAACGAGUGUGAGAGUGGAAAGUUCACACUGUGACGGUAUCUGACCAGAAAGGGACGGCUAACUAC